UUUCGAUACCUCAAUAGAACUCUCGACAACGAAAGAACGUGGAAAGUACAUACCCAGCUAAUGCCUGCUUGUUUAUACCAGAAUUAAUUGUUACAAUUCUCAUAUUUCAUACUGUUGUAAGAGAGAAACCAUAAACACCAAGUUUGCUCACCCUGCCUUUAGCCCACGUUGACGUUAUGAGUACUUUUUUGGUUAUAGUUAUACCUAUGAAUCUUACUAAAGUGUGUUUCCACUAAUUCUUACUAUGGACGUGGUUUUUAUGAAGUUGGAAAGCCAGGAAUUGAAACAGGGACCCUUCCUUCCCAGAAGAAUCGGCAAGAGCGGCUUUUAGUCAGGUAUAACUUUAUAUUACUAUUAUUGUAACCUCUAUUGUUAACUAACAGAAACUGGA
Molecule: long non-coding RNA, 391 nt
Organism: Zophobas morio
Lineage: Eukaryota; Metazoa; Arthropoda; Insecta; Coleoptera; Tenebrionidae
Exons: 3
Source: RefSeq, a predicted model, not a curated record